RNAcentral lists this long non-coding RNA (244 nucleotides) under Physcomitrium patens. Its description in RNAcentral is "long non-coding RNA (PPAT_LNC008693)". The record is from RNAcentral. Lineage: Eukaryota; Viridiplantae; Streptophyta; Bryopsida; Funariales; Funariaceae.
GGUGGAGUAUUAAUAUUAUUUGGAUAGAUAAGAUAUAUAAGAUUAUUUUAGUUCUUUUAUGUUUUUAACUUUAAUAUGCAGUGGUAUGGAUAGUACAUUUCAUAUGAAAUAUAUUGAUAUAUCACAUGAGAUUGAUAUAGCCGCAAAUCUUAAUAAUAUAUUGAAGUUGUGUAUUGUGUUAUUUUUGUGGUCUACACAUAGUAUUUAUAUUGCUUGAAGGUCUAUUUUGGAUUUAUUUAUUUUA